CCUACGGGAGGCAGCAGUGAGGAAUAUUGGUCAAUGGGCGCGAGCCUGAACCAGCCAAGUCGCGUGAGGGAAGACGGCCCUACGGGUUGUAAACCUCUUUUGCCGGGGAGCAACGGGCGCCACGUGUGGCUCCACUGAGAGUACCCGUAGAAAAAGCAUCGGCUAACUCCGUGCCAGCAGCCGCGGUAAUACGGAGGAUGCGAGCGUUAUCCGGAUUUAUUGGGUUUAAAGGGUGCGUAGUGGGGUCGUUAAGUCAGUGGUCAAAUUUAGGGGCUCAACCGUUUCACGCCAUUGAAACUGGCCAUUCUGGGUGGAAGAGAAGGAAGCCGAAUGCGUGGGGGAGCGGGGAAA
Molecule: ribosomal RNA, 351 nt
Filed under: uncultured bacterium
Lineage: Bacteria
Description: partial 16S ribosomal RNA
Rfam family: Bacterial small subunit ribosomal RNA
Source: RNAcentral